Molecule: ribosomal RNA, 200 nt
Filed under: uncultured bacterium
Lineage: Bacteria
Description: partial 16S ribosomal RNA
Rfam family: Bacterial small subunit ribosomal RNA
Source: RNAcentral
AUUGAACGCUGGCGGCAUGCCUAACACAUGCAAGUCGAACGGGAGUAAGGGGCAACCUUUACUUUAGUGGCGGACGGGUGAGGAAUGCGUAGGAAUCUACCCUAAGGCGGGGGAUAACUCGGGGAAACCCGAGCUAAUACCGCAUACGCACUAUGGUGGAAAGCCGGGACCGCAAGGCCUGGCGCUAACAGAUGAGCCCA